CACUCGUGUAGCAGCAAGAUAUUAGCACAUAUGGAUUAGAUUGCUGUAAACAGAUCUGUGGUUCAGGUUAAUUGUGGAAGCAGCCCCAUCCCCUCCCUGCCAUGCUGCUGCGCGCCGCGAAGAUCUGGGCUCCCAACAGUGCCAUCUGCCAGCAAUCGCACCACACAGCACCUUUUAUCUUUUUUUCCCUGCCACUGCCGACAAGAGAUAACUUUUUUUAUUAUAGAUGUCUUAAAAUUAACGGCCCUUGGUCUCCUCUCGCUCUUUGGGUGUAAAUGAGGGCCACAUGAACUAGAGGAAGCUCCAGCUUGGCAACUUAUGGUUGUUCCUCAGACAUCACCUCUUAAGCCUUCAGCUGACGUUCAGAAAAGCUCAAGGAGAAAUUCUGCAAGAAAGCAGGAACAACAGCACAGCAACAUGAAAACUCACAUGGUAGGGUUUCAAUGGGAGACGAGGUGAUCUUACUGGAUAUGUGCAGCUGGAAACUUGGCUUUUAGCAAACAUACAACCUUUUGCCUUCCUGUGCGUGGUAGAGGCAGCUGCUUUAGAACUGGAUCCUGGCUGGAGGGGAAAAUCUCACAUCAGAGGGGACUUUGUCAAGACUACCUCUAAGAAACUUAGGCCAAUCUCAAGGUUUAUUGCCAUUAUCUCAUGGAGGAGAAGCGGUUAUGCGUGAAAUACUGUUUGUUCACACCGGUAGAUACUAUUAACCUUAAAUCACGAUUAAGCACAGAAAUGAAUGAGUUAUUCAGAAGAACAUGCUCAAGCAUUUGAAAGGCUGGAGACAACAGAAUGAUGAAUAGCAUCGUGAUUCUCAAAUGCAUGUGCCCUUCUUUUUGAUGACGUAAGUUACUGGGUCAAGAAUUGCUAUCGUUGGUAAAAUUAACACCACAAGAAUGGGUAAGUUCAAUCUGACGUAUAAACCACUUUCAC
RNAcentral lists this long non-coding RNA (933 nucleotides) under Gallus gallus (chicken). RNAcentral describes it as "lncRNA (ENSGALG00010019887.1)". Lineage: Eukaryota; Metazoa; Chordata; Aves; Galliformes; Phasianidae. The record is from RNAcentral.